UCGACCUCAGCCAGAUGAUGAUACAUCUUUAGAUUUACUAAAUGAAUCCAUCAGCAGAAUAAACGCAAACUCAAAGUCAGCCAUAAUUAUUGGUGAGGACUUUAAUUUAGGAAACAUCAAUUGGGAAACAACUAGCGUCAUCCCUGGAAAAGCAAACCAAAAACAACAUCAACAACUGUUAGAUAUAAUAAAUGACCAUUCAUUAGCACAAGUCGUAAACAUACCAACUCGAAAUGACAAAAUUUUAGAUCUUGUGUUAACAAAUUAUCCGGCCAUCAUUGAAAAAACUGAAACCAUGCCACCAUUAGGGGAGGCAGACCAUGAUAUUGUAUAUAUAGAAUGUUUACUUUCAUUAAAAAGAUGCCAAACCAAGCCACGUAAAGUAUACAAAUAUAAAAAUGCAAACUGGCAAAAAAUAAAAGAGGAUAUCGAUGAAAUAUAUCAAAAGAUCGUAUAAUAAUAAAGAUAGUGAAGAUACAAACACUCUUUGGUUAACAUUUAAAAACUCAUUACAAAACACUAUCACUGAGAACAUACCCCAGAAAAUGAUGAGAAACAGCAAAAAUUUACCAUGGAUAACAGACAGUAUAAGACGACAAAUGAAAAAGUAUAAGAAAAAAUAUCAAAAGUACAAAUUGAAAGGCAAGGGGAAACUAGACCAACUCAAAAAAUUAAAACAUGAUAUACAAAAACAACAAAGAACAUCUUAUUGGAAUUAUAUUGAAAAUAUGAUAUGUGGUAUACCAGUUGAUGACAACACUACUACCAUAUCAAAGAGCUUUCCAAAAAAUCUGUUCAGUUAUAUAAAAACACAAAAGUCUGAAAGCUCUAAUAUACCACCACUCCGAAAAGAGGGCUCACUUACAUCUGACUCAAAAGCGAAAGCUAACAUUCUAAAUGAACAGUUCAAAAAA
This 914-nucleotide long non-coding RNA is filed under the name Mytilus galloprovincialis (Mediterranean mussel). Lineage: Eukaryota; Metazoa; Mollusca; Bivalvia; Mytilida; Mytilidae. The record is from RNAcentral.